CCUACGGGGUGCAGCAGUCGAGAAUCAUUCACAAUGGGGGAAACCCUGAUGGUGCGACGCCGCGUGGGGGAAUGAAGGUCUUCGGAUUGUAAGCCCCUGUCAUGUGGGAGCAAAUUAAAAAGAUAGUACCACAAGAGGAAGAGACGGCUAACUCUGUGCCAGCAGCCGCGGUAAUACAGCGGUCUCAAGCGUUGUUCGGAAUCACUGGGCGUAAAGUGUGCGUAGGCUGUUUCGUAAGUCGUGUGUGAAAGGCGCGGGCUCAACCCGCGGACGGCACAUGAUACUGCGAGACUAGAGUAAUGGAGGGGGAACCGGAAUUCUCGGUGUAGCAGUGAAAUGCGUAGAUAUCGAGAGGAACACUCGUGGCGAAGGCGGGUUCCUGGACAUUAACUGACGCUGAGGCACGAAGGCCAGGGGAGCGAAAGGGAUUAGAUACCCCGGUAGUC
Molecule: ribosomal RNA, 446 nt
Filed under: uncultured bacterium
Lineage: Bacteria
Description: partial 16S ribosomal RNA
Rfam family: Bacterial small subunit ribosomal RNA
Source: RNAcentral